CACAGAACAUCUGGAGAGAGGCGCGUCGCGCCCACCGAAGGGGAUCUCCGCCACCCGCUGGCGGAGUCAAGCUCUCAGGUACACAGACAGAUGGGGCGUA
Molecule: non-coding RNA, 100 nt
Filed under: Burkholderia humi (ex Srinivasan et al. 2013)
Lineage: Bacteria; Pseudomonadati; Pseudomonadota; Betaproteobacteria; Burkholderiales; Burkholderiaceae
Description: Burkholderia humi Glycine sequence
Rfam family: Glycine riboswitch aptamer
About the family: This family represents the bacterial glycine riboswitch. Glycine riboswitches usually consist of two metabolite-binding aptamers domains with similar structures in tandem.
Source: RNAcentral